CCUACGGGAGGCUGCAGUGGGGAAUAUUGGACAAUGGGCGAAAGCCUGAUCCAGCCAUGCCGCGUGUGUGAAGAAGGCCUUCGGGUUGUAAAGCACUUUCAGUGGGGAAGAAAGCCUUGGGGCUAAUACCCUCGAGGAAGGACAUCACCCACAGAAGAAGCACCGGCUAACUCCGUGCCAGCAGCCGCGGUAAUACGGAGGGUGCGAGCGUUAAUCGGAAUUACUGGGCGUAAAGCGCGCGUAGGCGGUCUGAUAAGCCGGUUGUGAAAGCCCCGGGCUCAACCUGGGAACGGCAUCCGGAACUGUCAGGCUAGAGUGCAGGAGAGGAAGGUAGAAUUCCCGGUGUAGCGGUGAAAUGCGUAGAGAUCGGGAGGAAUACCAGUGGCGAAGGCGGCCUUCUGGACUGACACUGACGCUGAGGUGCGAAAGCGUGGGUAGCAAACAGGAUUAAAUACCCGAGUAGUC
RNAcentral lists this ribosomal RNA (465 nucleotides) under Vreelandella stevensii. RNAcentral describes it as "partial 16S ribosomal RNA". It matches the Rfam family "Bacterial small subunit ribosomal RNA", at positions 338 to 795 of the family's 1533-position model. The record is from RNAcentral. Lineage: Bacteria; Pseudomonadati; Pseudomonadota; Gammaproteobacteria; Oceanospirillales; Halomonadaceae.